AUUGAACGCUGGCGGCAGGCCUAACACAUGCAAGUCGAACGGUAACAGGAAGAAGCUUGCUUCUUUGCUGACGAGUGGCGGACGGGUGAGUAAUGUCUGGGAAACUGCCUGAUGGAGGGGGAUAACUACUGGAAACGGUAGCUAAUACCGCAUAACGUCGCAAGACCAAAGAGGGGGACCUUCGGGCCUCUUGCCAUCGGAUGUGCCCAGAUGGGAUUAGCUAGUAGGUGGGGUAACGGCUCACCUAGGCGACGAUCCCUAGCUGGUCUGAGAGGAUGACCAGCCACACUGGAACUGAGACACGGUCCAGACUCCUACGGGAGGCAGCAGUGGGGAAUAUUGCACAAUGGGCGCAAGCCUGAUGCAGCCAUGCCGCGUGUAUGAAGAAGGCCUUCGGGUUGUAAAGUACUUUCAGCGGGGAGGAAGGGAGUAAAGUUAAUACCUUUGCUCAUUGACGUUACCCGCAGAAGAAGCACCGGCUAACUCCGUGCCAGCAGCCGCGGUAAUACGGAGGGUGCAAGCGUUAAUCGGAAUUACUGGGCGUAAAGCGCACGCAGGCGGUUUGUUAAGUCAGAUGUGAAAUCCCCGGGCUCAACCUGGGAACUGCAUCUGAUACUGGCAAGCUUGAGUCUCGUAGAGGGGGGUAGAAUUCCAGGUGUAGCGGUGAAAUGCGUAGAGAUCUGGAGGAAUACCGGUGGCGAAGGCGGCCCCCUGGACGAAGACUGACGCUCAGGUGCGAAAGCGUGGGGGAGCAAACAGGAUUAGAUACCCUGGUAGUCCACGCCGUAAACGAUGUCGACUUGGAGGUUGUGCCCUUGAGGCGUGGCUUCCGGAGCUAACGCGUUAAGUCGACCGCCUGGGGAGUACGGCCGCAAGGUUAAAACUCAAAUGAAUUGACGGGGGCCCGCACAAGCGGUGGAGCAUGUGGUUUAAUUCGAUGCAACGCGAAGAACCUUACCUGGUCUUGACAUCCACGGAAGUUUUCAGAGAUGAGAAUGUGCCUUCGGGAACCGUGAGACAGGUGCUGCAUGGCUGUCGUCAGCUCGUGUUGUGAAAUGUUGGGUUAAGUCCCGCAACGAGCGCAACCCUUAUCCUUUGUUGCCAGCGGUCCGGCCGGGAACUCAAAGGAGACUGCCAGUGAUAAACUGGAGGAAGGUGGGGAUGACGUCAAGUCAUCAUGGCCCUUACGACCAGGGCUACACACGUGCUACAAUGGCGCAUACAAAGAGAAGCGACCUCGCGAGAGCAAGCGGACCUCAUAAAGUGCGUCGUAGUCCGGAUUGGAGUCUGCAACUCGACUCCAUGAAGUCGGAAUCGCUAGUAAUCGUGGAUCAGAAUGCCACGGUGAAUACGUUCCCGGGCCU
Molecule: ribosomal RNA, 1364 nt
Filed under: uncultured bacterium
Lineage: Bacteria
Description: bacterial SSU rRNA
Rfam family: Bacterial small subunit ribosomal RNA
Source: RNAcentral